UACAGAGGUCCCAAGCGUUGUUCGGAUUCACUGGGCGUAAAGGGUGCGUAGGUGGCCGGGUAAGUUCGGUGUGAAAGCUCUGGGCUCAACUCAGAAAUGGCAUUGAAUACUAUCCGGCUAGAGGGUUGGAGGGGGGACUGGAAUUCUCGGUGUAGCAGUGAAAUGCGUAGAUAUCGCGAGGAACACCAGUGGCGAAGGCGAGUCCCUGGACGACUCCUGACUCUGAGGCACGAAAGCUAGGGGAGCAAACAGG
This 253-nucleotide ribosomal RNA is filed under the name uncultured bacterium. RNAcentral's name for it is "partial 16S ribosomal RNA". It matches the Rfam family "Bacterial small subunit ribosomal RNA", at positions 524 to 776 of the family's 1533-position model. The record is from RNAcentral.